This 1108-nucleotide long non-coding RNA is filed under the name Brassica napus (rape). RNAcentral describes it as "long non-coding RNA (BNAP_LNC021580)". The record is from RNAcentral. Lineage: Eukaryota; Viridiplantae; Streptophyta; Magnoliopsida; Brassicales; Brassicaceae.
AGAAGCCGUCUCAGCUCCUCCACAUGGACACAAAACGGUUGUACACGUCACUAUACCUCCAUCUCUGUUUCAUCCCCGUCACAUAUUCGAACACUCGCACCUGUUUUCGCCGUCUGCACACCAGUUCACAACACACAGGUUAGCCAGCUUCACACAAUAUUAUGAGUUACAAUACAGCUGUUUUAGAGCUGACUACCUGAACUUCGCAGUGUCCACCAUCAACAGUCGCAUCUUUCACAACAUCCUCAACCAAAGCAUUCAAUGUUUCCAAUCCCUAAAAUACACACCUAUUCAGUUCCUAUCGCUAAUUAUAUGAUGAGUUCCGUCAACUUACUUUUUCGUCUAACCCGUCGCCUGGUCCUCCAUCAUCCCGUCUACCUCCGUCAACGCUGCUUCCCUGAUAAUCCAGUUCAAUCAACAUACAUAAGCAUUGAAAACUUCUUCGGCCUAAACAUCAGACAGUUACUACCCCUACACAUACCUCCUCCUCACUGACGAAGUAAGUUUGCAAGAUCAAGGCACGAUAGAGAACAUUAUCACCGCUUUCUUGUUCGACCCAUUGCAACGGCACCCCGUCGCCUUCUUUCAACCUUACCAUCAAAGCCGGCCGCUCCUCCGACGAUGUCCUCGCACCUGGUUGUGGUGAAAAAUCGUCUUCUCCAAUCUCCCCACUCAUUUGUUCUUCUCGGUUACCAGCCCCGCCACCAUCACUGUUAAAAUCCUCCAUGACAUCCUUAGCUCCGUCGCCGGUUUUCCUCUUAUCUCUCCUUCAAACACUACCAAACUUCUUCGCUGCACUCUUCCCCUUCAUGAAAGUCUUCCAUUUUUCAAACUGCCUACCCUGUUUUUCAACGACCUCUUUCAGCCUCAGCACCUCUGUGCCAAGUUCCUCCACCCGCGAUACCAUCCUAGCGUGUUCUUCCCCAUCCACCAUUAUUUCCCGCUUGAAAUAGCCACUGAGCCGUCUCUGUUUAAGAACCGGCCCUGACGUUACCCCACCAACAGCUUUUCCCUUCCGCUUUUUGUCAUUUUUCUUUCCGUAAGCAAACAGAGGUCCCCCCGAAUCGCCACCACCCCAGUCAGACUUGCUAAACACAUGCCCUUCCCU